This 72-nucleotide transfer RNA is filed under the name Ovis aries (sheep). It matches the Rfam family "tRNA". From Rfam's summary of the family: Transfer RNA (tRNA) molecules are approximately 80 nucleotides in length. Their secondary structure includes four short double-helical elements and three loops (D, anti-codon, and T loops). Further hydrogen bonds mediate the characteristic L-shaped molecular structure. tRNAs have two regions of fundamental functional importance: the anti-codon, which is responsible for specific mRNA codon recognition, and the 3' end, to which the tRNAs corresponding amino acid is attached (by aminoacyl-tRNA synthetases). tRNAs cope with the degeneracy of the genetic code in two manners: having more than one tRNA (with a specific anti-codon) for a particular amino acid; and 'wobble' base-pairing, i.e. permitting non-standard base-pairing at the 3rd anti-codon position. Lineage: Eukaryota; Metazoa; Chordata; Mammalia; Artiodactyla; Bovidae. The record is from Rfam by way of RNAcentral.
UCUCUUGUAGCUUAGCUGGUAAAGAAUCUGCCUGCAAUGUUGGAGGCCUGGGUUCGAUACCCAGUUUGGGAA